This 611-nucleotide long non-coding RNA is filed under the name Struthio camelus australis. RNAcentral's name for it is "lncRNA (ENSSCUG00000014283.1)". The record is from RNAcentral. Lineage: Eukaryota; Metazoa; Chordata; Aves; Struthioniformes; Struthionidae.
GCUUUUCCCUGAGGAAAUAGGAGACUAUCUGGGGACAACCUAAGAAUCUUUCUAGAAGCAAAUUGCUGCCCUGUUCAAGACCCAAGAUGCUACAUCAGAGUUCAAGCCUCUUGCAGGAUGGCGAAGUCUGACAGCUUAGCUUUGCUAUCCCUCAUGGGCAAGUACGCUUCCUUUGCCCCCUCCAAUUCAUUGCAAGAGUAAUGUGUCUUGUCCUGCUGCCAAUACUACCACAAUGGAUUACCGUGCUUCUCUGAAUAGAGAUACUGGUUUUUGUAAGCCACAGUCCAGCUAGUAGGGACACAGAGCAAUCAAUGUACCCCAACACUGAACUGAAGUACAACUUCAAGGGACUCUAGCCAAGAAGAUAAUUCGUCUUCUUCAGGAAGAUGUGGUACAUAUAUUCCUCUAUAAGGGUUUUGAGGAAAACUGGACUCCUGAAGAAGAGAAUCUAAGCCAAAACGUGUGCUCUGAAGCGAGAUGGAACUCAGGUCAUAGGACCUCUUGUUUUCCCCUCUUGUGCUGCCUCCUCUUUUAAUCAGUGAUAUUACUGGGUUUGCAGUGGGGCUUUCAGGCUUCAGCAUCCAGACACUAGAUUAGCUGCGUUAAUGCAA